This 650-nucleotide ribosomal RNA is filed under the name Acinetobacter sp. DH15-2. RNAcentral describes it as "bacterial SSU rRNA". It matches the Rfam family "Bacterial small subunit ribosomal RNA", at positions 139 to 782 of the family's 1533-position model. Lineage: Bacteria; Pseudomonadati; Pseudomonadota; Gammaproteobacteria; Moraxellales; Moraxellaceae. The record is from RNAcentral.
GGGGACAACGUUCCGAAAGGAGCGCUAAUACCGCAUACGUCCUACGGGAGAAAGCAGGGGACCUUUGGGCCUUGCGCUAAUAGAUGAGCCUAAGUCGGAUUAGCUAGUUGGUAGGGUAAAGGCCUUACCAAGGCGACGAUCUGUAGCGGGUCUGAGAGGAUGAUCCGCCACACUGGGACUGAGACACGGCCCAGACUCCUACGGGAGGCAGCAGUGGGGAAUAUUGGACAAUGGGGGGAACCCUGAUCCAGCCAUGCCGCGUGUGUGAAGAAGGCCUUUUGGUUGUAAAGCACUUUAAGCGAGGAGGAGGCUACCUAGAUUAAUACUUUAGGAUAGUGGACGUUACUCGCAGAAUAAGCACCGGCUAACUCUGUGCCAGCAGCCGCGGUAAUACAGAGGGUGCGAGCGUUAAUCGGAUUUACUGGGCGUAAAGCGUGCGUAGGCGGCCAAUUAAGUCAAAUGUGAAAUCCCCGAGCUUAACUUGGGAAUUGCAUUCGAUACUGGUUGGCUAGAGUAUGGGAGAGGAUGGUAGAAUUCCAGGUGUAGCGGUGAAAUGCGUAGAGAUCUGGAGGAAUACCGAUGGCGAAGGCAGCCAUCUGGCCUAAUACUGACGCUGAGGUACGAAAGCAUGGGGAGCAAACAGGAUUAGA